RNAcentral lists this ribosomal RNA (497 nucleotides) under uncultured bacterium. Its description in RNAcentral is "partial 16S ribosomal RNA". It matches the Rfam family "Bacterial small subunit ribosomal RNA", at positions 28 to 507 of the family's 1533-position model. The record is from RNAcentral.
GAUGAACGCUGGCGGCGUGCCUAAUACAUGCAAGUCGAGCGAACGGACGAGAAGCUUGCUUCUCUGAUGUUAGCGGCGGACGGGUGAGUAACACGUGGAUAACCUACCUAUAAGACUGGGAUAACUUCGGGAAACCGGAGCUAAUACCGGAUAAUAUUUUGAACCGCAUGGUUCAAAAGUGAAAGACGGUCUUGCUGUCACUUAUAGAUGGAUCCGCGCUGCAUUAGCUAGUUGGUAAGGUAACGGCUUACCAAGGCAACGAUGCAUAGCCGACCUGAGAGGGUGGUCGCCCAGACUGGAACUGAGAAACGGUCCAGACUCCUACGGGAGGCAGCAGUAGGGAAUCUUCCGCAAUGGGCGAAAGCCUGACGGGGCAACGCCGCGUGAGUGAUGAAGGUCUUCGGAUCGUAAAACUCUGUUAUUAGGGAAGAACAUAUGUGUAAGUAACUGUGCACAUCUUGACGGUACCUAAUCAGAAAGCCACGGCUAACUACGUG